AAAGGGUAAGAGGGCAGGGAGGAGUCUACCCGGCUGGGACUUGGUAGUUUUGCAUAGAAUUGAGAACUGUAAGACUUGAAAAAAUCAGCUGAGGCCAAUGAUGCCUUCAUGUUUAAUUUAAGCAAAUGUGAAACUCAGUUUGCAUGCCCUGGGUAUACUCCAUGUUUAAUUUGCAUCGAGGCCAAGCAGUGCUUCCAGGUCAAGAGAUCUUGUAGGCAGAGUGUCUCACAGGGCUGGACGGAGAGGAAGCAGCUAAAGGAAGACGAGCAGACAUGUGUAUCGUCCAAAGGCAGAAAGAAUGCUAACUGGGGAACUGGCCAUGGCCCUGGGAAAUCCCUGUCAGUUAAAAUAACAUAAAUCACAUCUGAUUUUUUUUCCAUACAAACAAUGUUAUAAUGAGGGUGACAUUUCACAUCAAUGUUCUAAUGAAAGCACCCCAAAUAUUGUAACUAAUGGUCCCACAACUGAUAUUUGCUAAAGAAUAAGGCCUUCAGUGUGUACAUAUAAAUUAAACAGAGUGCUGACACAGGCAUAAUAUUAAUGAGUUGAAACCAUCCCUAGAGGCAAAGCCAUUGCAGGACUGGGAGGGACUCCAUGUGGGACAAGAGCCCAAAAUGACUCCCAGGAGAGAGGCUAUGCACAAGACCUCAAAGCCUAUCAGCGGGAGGAAAACUGCCACGCACAACAGGGGGAGUGGCCAGUAGCUCAAAACCUGUGGAGUCCAGUCUUGGGCAAACAGACUGGGUUCAUCAAGCCCAGCUACAGGGGGUCUCCCCGUGUCCCGGUGCUAACCCACAUGCCAUGGGUGCCACACGAAGCUUCCUAGAGCAAUCUCUCUACUCCUAAUCUUCUGCUCAGAAACUAUCAGUGAUCCCUCCUGUCCCACCAAUCCCCUGGAUUGCCAUUUGUGACCCUCCAGAAUCUGGUUCUUCUCUGUCUGUCCAACUUAAUCUUCUAAUACAUCUAUUCCAAUAACCUCAGUUGUAGAAAAGAUGGCUUAGUCAUUAUCUUCAAGAAGGACCAACAUUUUCUAUCGUUUUGUCUUUGCACGGGCCACAAGCACUCCUUGACAGACUUCCCUUACCACCUCCACUAUGAUCUAUUAAAAGUGCCGGAAACACAAAAUCCAGCUCAUGUGUCAGCUGUUCCACAAAGCCCGGUAUGUAGCAAAUGCUCUGUAUAUGUCUGUUGGAUGGGUGAAUGGACGGAUGGAUCUCAUCCUGAAUCCAUUACCCGGUAGAGACCAUUCCCUUGUCAGUGCACCACGGCACACUUCUGUUCCUUUUGUAAAGCUCUCCGCAUGCUCUCUUCUUUCACUCACAUCUGAAUACAGUUCUUAUCCACAUCAUUAAAUGGAAGGACUUGAAGUGUGAACUACAUUCAUCUUUGUCCCCCACACAACUUCCAGUACCAGGUCUUUCAUAGAAUGCAUGCUCAAGAUAUCAGAAAGCAACAUGGUAUACUUGGCAGCAGGUGGCAAAUGUGCAUAGUGGUUAAGUUUAAUACAAGUGAGGGAUAAAACCUACAUAAAAAUGAGUACCUCGCUCAGUAAAUGGGCACACAUAGCCUUAACCACAACAGACCACGGUGAGAUCCCUAGUCUCAGGUAAAUUUUUCCCAGACACAGUCAAGGUCACCGCUGCCUACUCCUCCUUCAGGACUUUCCCACUGCACACCCCCGAAGAUUCUAGGUCCUUCCACUGUGCGCACCCUAGGUAUCAUGUGCGUGCACCCAUUGGAAACAAGGCUGGCGCUCUGCUGUGUAACUGCCCUGCCCUCCUCAGGACAGAAGAGUCACUUUUGCUUAUCAUUAUAAUCCAUCACCCCCAGAGCAGGUUCUGGCACACACUUGGCUUUCAAUAAAGUUUUCUUAGUGUUUGAUUUUAGAUGCAUCAGGUUAACAUUCUGAUUUUUUUAUCUACUAAGUACACUCCCACUGUUAACAAACACGGGAUAUGUUACUAAAGCUCUUAGGUAGUGGAACAUAGCCUGAUGUAGGCUCUGCUCCUUUCUAGCGAUGCGAUCGGAGACAAAUCACAGACAUCUCUGAGCCGAUUUCCUCAUGGCUCCCUGGAGGGCAACAGCACCUUCCCCGCAGCUACCGCCGGGACCAGAGGGUAUGGAAAUAAGGUGCCCAGUGGUGUCCCUGGCAUUUGGUCAGUGCUCAGUAAUGGCAGCAAUUGUAAGAACUACACUAAGAGGACAGGCAAAAGUAAAUGUUGAUACAAAGAAUUUUUCAAUGAAUAUGUGUAACUUCUUUUUUUCUAAUUUUG
Long non-coding RNA from Phyllostomus discolor (pale spear-nosed bat), 2273 nucleotides. RefSeq lists it as uncharacterized. The record is from RefSeq and is a predicted model, not a curated record. The transcript has 2 exons. Lineage: Eukaryota; Metazoa; Chordata; Mammalia; Chiroptera; Phyllostomidae.